This 69-nucleotide transfer RNA is filed under the name Porotermes adamsoni (Australian dampwood termite). Its description in RNAcentral is "tRNA-Cys". Lineage: Eukaryota; Metazoa; Arthropoda; Insecta; Blattodea; Termopsidae. The record is from RNAcentral.
GGUCUUAUAUUCAUAUUUGUGAUAAUAGAAUGCAAUUCUAUAGGGGUGGGGUAAAUACUACUAAGGCUU